This 677-nucleotide ribosomal RNA is filed under the name uncultured Eubacteriales bacterium. RNAcentral describes it as "bacterial SSU rRNA". It matches the Rfam family "Bacterial small subunit ribosomal RNA", at positions 61 to 748 of the family's 1533-position model. Lineage: Bacteria; Bacillati; Bacillota; Clostridia; Eubacteriales. The record is from RNAcentral.
GAUGAAACUUAGUAGACUUCUUCGGAAAGACACUAAGCGGAUUAGUGGCGAACGGGUGAGUAACGCGUGAGUAACCUGCCUUACACAAGGGGAUAGCCUUUGGAAACGAAGAAUAAUACCCUAUAAAACCAUAAAAGCACAUGCUAGAAUGGUCAAAGUGAUAGCGGUGUAAGAUGGACUUGCGUCUGAUUAGCUAGUUGGUGAGAUAAAAGCUCACCAAGGCAACGAUCAGUAGCCGGCUUGAGAGAGUGUACGGCCACAUUGGGACUGAGACACGGCCCAGACUCCUACGGGAGGCAGCAGUGGGGAAUUUUGCACAAUGGGGGAAACCCUGAUGCAGCGACGCCGCGUGAUUUAGAAGGCCUUCGGGUUGUAAAAAUCUUUUGUAUAGGAAGAAAAUGACAGUACUAUACGAAUAAGGUCCGGCUAAUUACGUGCCAGCAGCCGCGGUAAUACGUAAGGACCGAGCGUUGUCCGGAAUCAUUGGGCGUAAAGGGUACGUAGGCGGCUAGAAAAGUUAGAAGUCAAAGGCUAUAGCUCAACUAUAGUAAGCUUCUAAAACUAUUUAGCUUGAGAAAUGGAAGGGAAAGUGGAAUUCCUAGUGUAGCGGUGGAAUGCGCAGAUAUUAGGAAGAAUACCGGUGGCGAAGGCGACUUUCUGGCCAUUAUCUGACGCUG